RNAcentral lists this long non-coding RNA (666 nucleotides) under Capsicum annuum. RNAcentral describes it as "long non-coding RNA (CANN_LNC012762)". The record is from RNAcentral. Lineage: Eukaryota; Viridiplantae; Streptophyta; Magnoliopsida; Solanales; Solanaceae.
GGAAAUCAAAUUUCGUGUCCCAUUUCUUCAAAAUCAAAGGAACCCCAUUCAUAGUGUAAGGUCCCCCAAAUAGUACAUGAUCUCUAUCUUGUUCACUGUGAAAUUUCACCACAAAGAACCCGUCGUCAUGCAGAUAUAUGUCAGGCUUUGCUACUUCAUGUUCUAGUUAUGUAACUACUCAUAUAACUGUACCUAGGAAUUUUCCCCAUAGAAUAGAGAACUAAAGCAUUUUUCCACUCUUUAGUCUGCUCAGCGAUUUCAACCUCUUCUCAUUUAACAGUCAAUUUUCCAUUUACCACCACAGGUGGGAUAAAGGACAAAGCUAUACCAUUCGAAACGGCUCGAUUCUGCGUGAACAGACCACUCCAAUUUUUUGGUAUUUCCUCUCGAGUCUCCUGCUGCUUUCCAGAUUGAGAUGUCACUUUAUCCCCUUUGUGAUCUUCCUCCAGAACUCCCUUUCUAAUAUCAUCAGCUCCCCUUUGUUUUGAACAUUCACCCUCCUCAGAUCUAAUGCUUAGAUCCGACGAACAAAUCUCCUUCCUUUCCGUGAGUGUACACUUACUACCUGAGUAAAUUCCCUAAAUAAUCAACCAUGUUUGAAAAUUUACCUAAUAAUAUUUUUUUUUAAGAUCACAAUAUCACCCUACUUCAGAAUACCAAGAUUCU